AUACGUAGGAUGCAAGCGUUAUCCGGAUUUAUUGGGUUUAAAGGGUGCGUAGGCUGUUCGGAAAGUCAGGGGUGAAAGCCCGGCGCCUAACGCCGGAACUGCCUUUGAUACUUCCGAGCUGGAAUACGGAUGCCGUGGGAGGAAUGAGUAGUGUAGCGGUGAAAUGCAUAGAUAUUACUCAGAACACCGAUUGCGAAGGCAUCUCACGAAUCCGUCAUUGACGCUGAGGCACGAAAGCGUGGGGAUCAAACAGGAUUAGAUACCCUGGUAGUCCACGCAGUAAACGAUGAUGACUAACCGUCGGCGAUACACAGUCGGUGGCCAAGCGAAAGCGAUAAGUCAUCCACCUGGGGAGUACGUUCGCAAGAAUGAAACUCAAAGGAAUUGACGGGG
This 393-nucleotide ribosomal RNA is filed under the name uncultured bacterium. Its description in RNAcentral is "partial 16S ribosomal RNA". It matches the Rfam family "Bacterial small subunit ribosomal RNA", at positions 523 to 918 of the family's 1533-position model. The record is from RNAcentral.